This 252-nucleotide ribosomal RNA is filed under the name uncultured bacterium. Its description in RNAcentral is "partial 16S ribosomal RNA". It matches the Rfam family "Bacterial small subunit ribosomal RNA", at positions 524 to 776 of the family's 1533-position model. The record is from RNAcentral.
UACGUAGGUCCCGAGCGUUGUCCGGAUUUAUUGGGCGUAAAGCGAGCGCAGGUGGUUUAUUAAGUCUGGUGUAAAAGGCAGUGGCUCAACCAUUGUAUGCAUUGGAAGCUGGUAGACUUGAGUGCAGGAGAGGAGAGUGGAAUUCCAUGUGUAGCGGUGAAAUGCGUAGAUAUAUGGAGGAACACCGGUGGCGAAAGCGGCUCUCUGGCCUGUAACUGACACUGAGGCUCGAAAGCGUGGGUAGCAAACAGG